AAGUCGUAACAAGGUUUCCGUAGGUGAACCUGCGGAAGGAUCAUUAUAAAAUUUUCAUAUAUUUAAAAUUCAUUUAAUAUAUAAAAUUAUAUACAAAAUGUAUUCAAAACCCACACUCUUUAUAACCAUAAAAAAAUUUAUAUUAUUAUUUAUAAUAUAAAAAAAAAACAACUUUCAACAACGGAUCUCUUGGCUCUC
RNAcentral lists this unclassified non-coding RNA (198 nucleotides) under Entrophospora etunicata. Its description in RNAcentral is "Claroideoglomus etunicatum partial internal transcribed spacer region". The stretch from base 1 to 46 matches the Rfam family "Eukaryotic small subunit ribosomal RNA", at positions 1786 to 1831 of the family's 1831-position model. The record is from RNAcentral. Lineage: Eukaryota; Fungi; Glomeromycota; Glomeromycetes; Entrophosporales; Entrophosporaceae.